This 484-nucleotide ribosomal RNA is filed under the name uncultured bacterium. RNAcentral describes it as "partial 16S ribosomal RNA". It matches the Rfam family "Bacterial small subunit ribosomal RNA", at positions 30 to 507 of the family's 1533-position model. The record is from RNAcentral.
AUUGAACGCUGGCGGCAGGCCUAACACAUGCAAGUCGAGCGGAUGAAGGGAGAUUGCUCCUGGAUUCAGCGGCGGACGGGUGGGUAAUGCCUAGGAAUCUGCCUGGUAGUGGGGGAUAACGUCAGGAAACGGGAGCUAAUACCGCAUACGUCCUGAGGGAGAAAGGGGGGGAUCUUCGGACCUCGCGCUAUUAGAUGAGACUAGGUGGGGUUAGCUAGUUGGUUGGGUUAAGGCGUACCAAGGCGACGAUCCGUAACUGGUCUGAGAGGAUGAUCAGUCACACUGGAACUGAGACACGGUCCAGACUCCUACGGGAGGCAGCAGUGGGGAAUCUUGGACAAUGGGCGAAAGCCUGAUCCAGCCAUGCCGCGUGUGUGAAGAAGGUCUUCGGAUCGUAAAGCACUUUUAGUUGGGAGGAAGGGCAGUAAGUUAAUACCUUGCUGUCUUGACGUUACCAACAGAAUAAGCACCGGCUAACUUCGUG